Molecule: ribosomal RNA, 301 nt
Filed under: uncultured bacterium
Lineage: Bacteria
Description: partial 16S ribosomal RNA
Rfam family: Bacterial small subunit ribosomal RNA
Source: RNAcentral
CAGCCGCCGCGGGAAUACGGAGGGAGCUAGCGUUGUUCGGAAUUACUGGGCGUAAAGCGCACGUAGGCAGCUUUGUAAGUUAGAGGUGAAAGCCUGGAGCUCAACUCCAGAACUGCCUUUAAGACUGCAUCGCUUGAAUCCAGGAGAGGUGAGUGGAAUUCCGAGUGUAGAGGUGAAAUUCGUAGGUAUUCGGAAGAACACCAGUGGCGAAGGCGGCUCACUGGACUGGUAUUGACGCUGAGGUGCGAAAGCGUGGGGAGCGAACAGGAUUAGAUACCCCAGUAGUCCCUGUCUCUUAUAC